This 372-nucleotide ribosomal RNA is filed under the name uncultured bacterium. Its description in RNAcentral is "bacterial SSU rRNA". It matches the Rfam family "Bacterial small subunit ribosomal RNA", at positions 524 to 898 of the family's 1533-position model. The record is from RNAcentral.
UACGGAGGAUCCGAGCGUUAUCCGGAUUUAUUGGGUUUAAAGGGAGCGUAGGCGGAUGUUUAAGUCAGUUGUGAAAGUUUAAGGCUCAACCUUGAAAUUGCAGUUGAUACUGGAUAUCUUGAGUACAUUGAAUGUGGGCGGAAUUCGUGGUGUAGCGGUGAAAUGCUUAGAUAUCACGAAGAACUCCAAUUGCGAAGGCAGCUCACAGUAAUGUAACUGACGCUGAUGCUCGAAAGUGUGGGUAUCAAACAGGAUUAGAUACCCUGGUAGUCCACACAGUAAACGAUGAAUACUCGCUGUUUGCGAUAUACAGUAAGCGGCCAAGCGAAAGCGUUAAGUAUUCCACCUGGGGAGUACGCCGGCAACGGUGAA